Phascolarctos cinereus (koala) is the source of this 1981-nucleotide non-coding RNA. The record is from RefSeq and is a predicted model, not a curated record. Lineage: Eukaryota; Metazoa; Chordata; Mammalia; Diprotodontia; Phascolarctidae.
CAAGGCCACUUGGGCUGGAAUGUAGAAAGCAGCAGAGGCAGAAAUGUGAAAUAAGGCCAGGAAGGGAUACCAAGGCUUGUUGACUUGAUAACAACAAUAGAGAGGUUUGUUGACUUCCUGGUUGGUGCAUGUAUUCAAUACGAAACCAAGAACCUGUCAAGAUUGUGAAAAUGGAUGACAGCUGCCAACUUCUGGUGAUUCUCAUGGGAACAAAUGACACUUGUGGAAGGAACCUAAAACACAUUGCCAACAAUUAUGAAGUAUUGGUCAGGAAUUAGAAGACCAUGGAGACAUGAUUUGUGUUUUUCUUGCUGUUGUCAGCUGAAGACAAGGUAUUCAGAAGAGAAAAUUUAAUUUGGGAAGUGAACAGCUGGCUAAGAAGGCUGUUUUGAAAAUGGGAGCUGGAUUUCUGAACCAUAGCUUAAAAUGUAGGGAUGAUAGAUUACUGGCCUGAGAUGGAGUGCAUUUAACAAAGUCUAGUAAGAAUGUACUUCUCAGACUAUUUGUAAACCCAAUCAAAAGGGCUUUGAAUUAAAAAGGCUAGGGCAGGGACAAUAACCUUAAAUUAGAUCCCAUAGAGAAUGGGUAUAAAGAAAGAAGAAGAAUAGCAAACAAGACAACAGAAGUUCAAAGGAGAUGAAAUCCCCACACCCAUGAUCUUAAAUGUCUAUACCCAGAUUCUCAUAGUUUAGGUAACAAAAAAGAAGAAACCAGAGGUCCCAAUACAAGGAAGUAAAGUUGACUUUUUAGGUAUCACCAAGAUGAUGGGAUGAAACCUAUGACUGUGCCAUAGCUCUAGAUGGGUAUACAUUAUUCAAAAUAAGCAUGACAGGUAAAAGGGAAUAGGGGCAGUACUGUACAAUAAGAAAGUAUACCCACAUGAAGAAAUUCAGGAAUGAGAGUGGAGGAAAAUGAGAGAGAGAAAAGUUGUGAAGACCAACUGAAAGAAAUAAAAGUGACUUGUCACAGACCACCAGAAUAUAGACCACCUGGAUAGAAAGAGUAAACAGUCCAGUGACACCGACCUCCUGGCAGUUCCACGAACAAGACACUUCAUCUCUCAGCUCCUGGAAUGCUCUCUGGCUGAUGCCUGGAAUGUUCCUCCUCCUCCACUGCAUUUUUACAUCUGGGGUAACUACCACAAACUACGUGUGGCAAGUGGUCUACAACACACCCUCAGUUUGAAGAAGGAGGUCUUAAACAUCAUCAAUGGGGAAGAGACAGAGUCCCUGAGACACUAGUGGAAGAUCUCACCCUACUCCUCCCAGCCUACCCUUCUUAGAGGCAGGCAGACCACAGCCUGUCGAGGGAGGGGCAGCCAGUGCCUGCAGCUAGCUUUGUCUCCAACACCUCCCUUUCAAGAGAGAGCUUCAGCCAGCACCCCCUCCCUGAGGCCAGGGCUGAACGAUCCAGUUCACAGACACAGGUCUGUCCUGGGGCCGGCCCCUCUGCCAUUCUGCUUAUACACCAAGCCAGCAUCCCCCAGGCUCUGCUGUUACCACCUGCAGCCCUCCUCCACCCACUCUCCUCAGAGUGGUGUGAGCAAAGUUUCUGUGAAAAGCAGGGUCUCUACCGAAGUCUUCUGCUCCAGUGGAGAAAGAAAGAGCUUAAGGGGAAGGUAUGGAGGCCUUCGUGACCCAUCCCCCCUGGUUAGACUCUGAGAAGUCACCUUCCUUGGCAUCCUGCCAGCCCCCGCUAGCCUGAUGUAACCCUUCCACCCUCCUCCUCCUCCUCCUGAGGGGACAGAGACUGGGUCAUGUUGGGACCCAAGCUGCUGCUGCUUCUCCCUUCUAUCUCAAGUCAGACUUGCUCAUUUGGCUAGUUGGAACAAGUUGGAGAAAUCCCACAGGUGUCGCCCAUCGAGUUCUUCUGCUAUGCCCGUCAUCACACCCUGUGAGGCCUACACAGCUCAGCUCAGAUUUGGGUUGAUUACAGUAGCCAAUGAUGAGGCAGAGACUGACUCUUCGUGUUUUUUUUUUCC